Ochotona curzoniae (black-lipped pika) is the source of this 284-nucleotide long non-coding RNA. RefSeq lists it as uncharacterized. NCBI's taxonomy places the organism in Eukaryota, Metazoa, Chordata, Mammalia, Lagomorpha, Ochotonidae. The record is from RefSeq and is a predicted model, not a curated record. The transcript is spliced from 3 exons.
ACGGUGAAUGAUCACUGGCCUCUUCUUGUCAUCACCAUCGUGACUGAAAGAAAAAGAACAGACUGUCGGCCACGGGCAUUUUUCCGACAGUCCUAAGAAAAUUCUGACCGGACACUCACCUUACAAAGGGUCUCAUACCUGCUCCAUGGCACAGAAUAUGUGUGCGUCAUCCUGCUGGAAUCUUCGUACCCGGGAGCUGGAUACCAGAGGUCAGCGCCAGUGUAGCACAUAUGUGCUGAUGGCACUUCCUGUGGACGCUGGUUCGAGUCCUGGCUGGCCCACGU